Long non-coding RNA from Gasterosteus aculeatus aculeatus (three-spined stickleback), 2171 nucleotides. The record is from Ensembl. NCBI's taxonomy places the organism in Eukaryota, Metazoa, Chordata, Actinopteri, Perciformes, Gasterosteidae.
GUGCGUUCAAUGUCACUGGGGUUUUCAUCAUUGAAUUGAACACGAUCAUAGCUGUGCACUGGUGUUAUUCUAUUGAUUAGUGUCAACAUGACAGCGGUGUCCCACUAUUCUCAUGUCUUUAUUGAUCACAUAGUGUCAGAAUCAGGGCUGUAUCCUGGUGGACACUAAAUGCAUUUUAUCCAUUGGUCUAAUUCAUGAAGCGUCGUCAGUCUGACUACUGUAACUCUCUCCUGCAGGUCUCCUGCUACCACCAUUCCACCUCUGCAGCUCAUCCACAAUGCAGCAGCUCCACUGCUCUUUAACCUUCCUAAGUCCUCUAAACAUGGUGCUCACGUACCGUGCUGUGAAUGGAUGGGGUCCAGCUUACAUCCAGGACCUGGUCCAACCCGACAUCCCGACCCGCACUCUCCGCUCUGCAUGUGAUAAACUGCUUGUUCCUCCUCACUGAGAGCAAAACACUCGACUAGAUCUCCACUCUUUGCUGUCCUGCUCCUAAAUGGUGGAAGGAGGUCUCUGAAGACAUCAGGACCACAGAGAGCCUUCACAUCUUCAGACUAAAGACACACCUCUUCAGACUCUACCUCCACUAACACACUAACUAACUGUAGCACUUACAUUGGACUUAUAAUGGUUCUUAUCUACAGCAAGUUGUAAAGCGGCUUAUUAGCGUCAGCUAAUUGACAUGUGAUGUAAUGAAGGUGUGAAGGUGUGGACUCUGCUAUGAAUCAGGCUGAGGACCCAGAGGACGGAGUCCCUCCCUCUAAAGCCCCUCUGUGUGGGGAACAUGACAGCCAGACCAAAGCUCAGAGGACCCAUCAGAGACCAGGACCUGGACCUGGACCCAGCUGUGUGUCCAUGAAGAGUGAUCGGUCUAAAGGUCGACUGACUUCAAAGAUGGACGUGGUUCUUAUGAGCCUCACUAAGCUCUUGAACAGAAGAACCAGAUGAAGAACAUGAUGAUUGGUUGUAUUGUAACAUUAAGUGAAUAUGGAUUGAUGUCAGUGAGGGAUUUCACAUUCGUUUGUGGUGUGAAAACAUGGCAGGUCUCCCUGCUCGAUGUCGCACCGUCUCAUUCAUUCACUUGGCUCAUGACGUCCACCUGAAUGUUCCUCUUUGGCUAAAAAGUGCCCUAAAUCGCUUGAGACAGAGUCAGAGCCUCCAGCCACCAACCUCACCGCACGUCACUGCCAGCAGCUCUGUGAAAGGUCCAACGUCUAGUUUCAGAAGAUCUAAGGAGACUUCUACAGAAGCUGGAGGAAUUACAGUUUGUGUUCUACAUUCAGUCACAUCUUACUGUGUGCAAGCAGGCUGCUUUACUGGCUGUUCUUACCCACAAUCCUUUGCACAGCAGGUAUAUGAGCCAGAGGGUUCAAGGUGCCAUGUGAUGAGGAAGUAGAACACUGCAUGUAACAACAUGUCCUUUGUGAUUUGGCAGGCAGCUUCAGACUGAUACGUGGGGAAGUUGUUCCGCCCCAACAGGUUCAACCUGAUCAUCAACACCACCGCGUGAGGACGUGAGGACACACCCUCUCUGAUGAAGGACAACAAGCUCUAACAAGCUGCAACACUUCACUCCGUCUGAUGGAAGCUGAAGUGAAGCACGGAGCUCCUUUUCUACACGGACCUGCUGAGGACAGAAGAGAGCUUCUCACUGAGGAAGUUCAUGUCUACAAGCUCAGUUGUUGUGAAGGUGUGAAGGUGUGGACUCUGCUAUGAAUCAGGCUGAGGACCCAGAGGACGGAGUCCCUCCCUCUGAAGCCCCUCUGUGUGGGGAACAUGACAGCCAGACCAAAGCUCAGAGGAUCCAUCAGAGACCAGGACCUGGACCUGGACCCAGCUGUGUGUCUAUGAAGAGUAACUGGUCUAUGGAGCUUCCUAUAGAAUUCAAAGAUGUUGGUCCCUCUGUUGAUGCAAGGUGAGGGUCUCAGGCUGAUGAUGAGGUGUUUCUACCAGACUCUCUGGUGGAGGUUCUGGGUUUCUUGCUCCAGGGCCCUUCAGCAGUGUCCAGUGAGGGAGGGAGAGCUCCAUGGAGGACUUGGUGAGACCUGUUGGGACUAAACCAAACUGACUGGUGAAGAAAACAGUGAGCUGAAAGACUGAGGUGUUGAUUCUCAGUGGGACCAGCAGGACCAGUAGACCUGAACCACUACAGGGAGUCAUGUGGUCAUCAU